UUUUUUUUUGUUACGUCGUAUCUACUCUCCUUUACCAUGAAUAGAUAACAGAAUUUUUCCAGAAAGAACUCUAACCUCUAAAUUCUUUUCCUCCCUUUACUGGAACUGUCGUCUAAACAAAUGAAUUUUAACAUUUGUAGAAUUAUUUACAUCAUGAAUUUGAUUUAAGGACAUGAGGGGACAUCUGAGGAGUUUACAUUAUUUUGAUACGGAGGUAAUACUAGAUAGAUCAUUCAGUAGUCGCAAAAAAGAAAAGGUUGAGCAUUCAGGUAGAUAUAAAAUGUCUGUGCAAAGAAAUUAUCAUUUCUCUCUUCCAUGCUGGAUUCUUCAAGGAGUUAUGGCAGGCUGUGGUCUUUACUCCGUCAUACCAAUGAUUGGCUAUAGAAACAGGGAGAUUUCAGUGAAGUCCUGAAAUUGGUCAUCAUGAUGAAUUUGUACCAAUGUCCACCAGAUUAUGAUCAGACUGAUCUGGUCUGUUAUUCACAAUCAUGUUUCUUCACAGUAUACCAAUCGAAAACAAAAGAGGUUCGAAGAUUUAGAAGUCACUCUUCUGUUUCCAGCCAUGUUUAUUUUAGAUGUUAGGCUAAAAGUUCUAACAAAAUAACCAUGAUAAGUGAUCUAGCAUCCUUUGGGGAAGAAGUUUAUGGAUUUGAUCAUUAGCAUGCUACGCUACAGGUUGAAAUUAAUUAUCUCUGAUGUAUAUUGUGUUUUGUGUAUAUGACACAGGAUGAAUUGAAUGAGCUUGAAACCAUGGAACCUGCAUCUGCGGCAUGCCGGGAGUAAGUAAUUUCAAGUAUAUCGCAUAUGUUUCCCGUGCUCUUGCAUUCCAGUUUGUGAUUGUUUUUCCUCUUGACUAAGCCAGGGUGAUCACAAGUACUGAAGGAAAACCUGACCCGCUUCUUCCAAUGUAAGUGCCACCACAUCUUAUUCUUGCCAGUAUCUCACCCUAGGAAAUCUGACCGUAUGAGCACACACACACAAAGUGUAACACGGUCGCAUUUUUGCAGCACAAGUAGCCCGGAGAACUCUUCAUGGGACAGGUGGUUCCAGCGCGUGCGAAGCUCUCGCAGCAACAAAUGGUGGCAAUCCAAAGGCUCCGAUUUUGCCUAGCUUUCGCCGAAGCUGAGACAAGCUGUGUGCAGAUUGAAUCGACCCCAAUCCGUAUGGUCCAUCGUUGGCCUGGCAACAGAAUACAACCCAGUUUUCUUGAGAAUCGUUGUGUAUGUAAUCCCUAACAAAAACAUGAAUGUAUCCUCAUUAGUCCUGAUUGCUGUCCAGAAAAUAGUCCUGUAAUUCAUCUCCCUCAGGUGCUGACUAGCUAUGUUCGAUUCUGGUGGUCUUGGAGCAAAAUGGUCCUGUACUUUUGGGCAAGUUUGUUGACCUUUGAGCAAAAUUUCUCAUGUGCAUCUAAUUUUGUCGAAAAUUGCGGAAGCACCGCCUUUCGUUCGAUUUGGCUAGUUGUGUUUAUUCAGUGAUGAAUGAUAUCUCCAAACAUGAUUGUGUAAAAUAUUGGGUCCACGAUCUCUCACUGUCGUGUGGGGACCGCAUGUAAGAGUACACCCGAAGCAUCUCUCGCUGUCAUGUGGGACCAGCUUGCAGGAGGGUCUACUUGGAUCAUGAGCGCCAUCAUCCAUCCACAUCCACUCUUCGAUUCUCCGCUUCUCGCCAACCUCAACCCGCCAUGGCCUCCACCGUGGCCUUCACCCCCGCCGUCGCCGUCGGCGCCAAUGUGCAGCACUCUCGGAGGACCUCUUCGCUGCGGCCCGUCCCGAGAGCCAGGCCCGUGGCCGCGAGGGCCAGCGCCGAGCGGGACGGGGCCGCGGCGGCCGUCCAGGCGCGGUCGGGGCGGACCAUCGAGGAGUGCGAGGCGGACGCCGUCGCCGGGAAGUUCCCCGCCGCGCCGCCGCCGACCAGGCCGCAGGCGCCCAACGGCACCCCGGAGAUCAGGCCCCUCGUACGUCACAUCCCCUCUCAUCCGGGCAUUUGCCCAAGUUCCAAUCGCUGUGCUGAAUUGUGGCCAUGUGGGUGUUUGUUUGAUGUGUGUGUGCAGGACAUGGCGAAGCGCCCUCGCCGGAACCGGAGGUCGCCGGCGCUCCGGGCAGCGUUCCAGGAGACCAGCAUUACCCCCGCGAACCUCGUCCUCCCUCUGUUCAUCCACGAAGGUUGGUGAUUGGGAUACUGAAACAUGGUUGGUGCAAGCAACUGAGAUUGGUGGGUACAGUUUGGUUGAUUGGUAGUUUGGUACUGAUGUGCAGGUGAAGAAGACACUCCCAUUGGAGCUAUGCCUGGGUGCUUCAGGCUUGGAUGGAGGCACGGGCUUCUGGAAGAGGUACCGAGCUUACCGCAGUUUACAUGAUUCGGUGCCAUUGGAGCUAUGCCUGAAUUAUGAUACAUUAGGUGAUUUUCUGUAGUAAGGACAUUGCUGUCCAUAUAACUUCAAUAUCACCAUACUAGAAACAGUGCAUGUAUAUCCAUACGAGUUUACGACGAUAGUUAAUAAUGCGCUGGAAAAUUAGCAACUAUUGUCACACCCUCUUGUUCAAGUCUUAGUUAGCUACAUCUAUCUUCAGGAAGAAAUCAGUUUUGUUGAACUGCUAUUAUUCACAGGUGUACAAGUCACGCGAUGUUGGUGUUAACAGCUUUGUGCUAUUUCCAAAGGUUCCUGAUGGAUUAAAGGUUUUGCCAGAAACAUAAGUUUUUUUCGUCUAAUUGAAUUGCAUAGAUCAUAUGGAAUAACAUAGACGUCCUUUGUCCAUCAGACGCAAACUGGAGAUGAGGCAUAUAAUGAUAAUGGUUUAGUGCCGCGAACAAUCCAUCUGCUCAAGGAUAAGUACCCUGACAUUGUGAGUCAUGUGUUACAUUUGAUAAUCAUUGUCACAUUACAUCAUUUAUGCUAAAUGCUAACAUGUCCGCUUCUCACCAUACUACCUGUUUAGGUUAUCUACACUGAUGUUGCUUUGGAUCCGUAUUCUUCUGAUGGUCAUGAUGGCAUUGUGAGGGAAGAUGGUUAGAAUUUAUUCCUUGCAGAUUUGCUCCCAGAGAGAUAAUAUUUGAAGUUUACUUCCAUUCAUUGCUUCAGUUCAGUGUGAUAUCCUGAGAAUUUUACUUUGCAUAUGCUAACAAUCUAAUCAUAUUAAUAUAACACUCAUUGCUUAAUACUGCUACUGUUGUAGACUUGUAGUGCCAUACUGAUUAAAGAAAACUUUAUUUCUUCUAUCGAGACCAAGAGAGCAUACCUGAUUUGGAAGAAUGUUGAGAAAAAGUAGUGUUGUAUAGGCUUUACAGGCAUAUGAGCCCGUUAGAUCAUGCUUGAGUUGCACUGUUAGAGUAUACCUGAUUUUUUUUACAUUAUGUUGGAUGAUGUUACCGGAGGCUGCAGUUAUUACUUUUUAAUCAUAGUUUGUGUGAUUGAUAUUGAUUUAUACUUUCCGAAGUAAGCAGCUUUGGAGGAGUUUUGUGACUGAUAAAUGAGUUCCAUCAAAGUUCAACUAGAUGCUGUUUGUAUAGAAAUGAAAGGAAUAGAACAUCAAUCUGUUACUUCUGACCAUGUAGAUUAUGGGAAAAAAUUGCUCGUUUCCCCCCUGUUUACAUAUGAGCUGAGGGCACCCCCUGUUUACAUAUGAGCUGAGGGCAUUAAAUUCCACAACGGAGAUGUUUGCAUGCCAAGUCAAUUGGAUGUGCAUUCCAGUUUAGUAGUUCGUACCAAUAAAAGUAUGUUGGUAGAAAUGUGCUCUUUUUCUCGAUAAUGGCACUUAUUAAUAACCAUGUUUCCAUUGGCCUUUUAUCCCACUGCAGGAGUCAUCAUGAACGAUGAAACAGUCCAUCAGCUGUGCAAGCAGGCAGUUUCCCAGGUUCCCUUUCCUGAAUCGGCCUUGUAGUCAUGGGCCUCCUGGCUUAGUAUACCUUUGAGUACAUACUUAUAGGAAACUUUGCUGUUGCUAAAUAGGCUCGAGCUGGUGCUGAUGUUGUCAGUCCUAGUGACAUGAUGGAUGGUCGUGUUGGAGCAAUUCGGGCUGCUUUAGAUGCGGAGGGUUUCCAUGAUGUCUCCAUCAUGUCCUACACUGCCAAGUACAUACCUGUCCUGAAAUAGAACCUACUGUUGUCUUAUUAUAUUUGAUAAUUUUCUUCUCCCCUUGACUACAAAUUGCAAGUAGGAUCAUGUGUAUGAUGUAUAAGCUAUGAUAUUGCAGGUAUGCUAGUUCAUUUUAUGGUCCAUUCCGUGAAGCUUUGGAUUCAAAUCCACGAUUUGGAGACAAGAAGACGUAUGUACCUAACCUUAAAACUUGUAGUUACAUCCAGUGUAUAAUUUAAAAUCAUUAUAUCUAAGUGACCUAGUACACGCUUUGUUGAUUCUCAAGUUAUCAGAUGAACCCAGCCAAUUACAGAGAAGCCCUUAUAGAAACUGCAGCAGAUGAAGCAGAAGGAGCAGACAUUCUUCUGGUAAUUCUGUUACUUUGUAUACAGAGUGCUCGAUCAUCAAAGUCUUUGUUUGUUUCCUUGCUUGUGUAGCGUACUAAAAGCUAUGUUAUCAUUUGUCAGGUGAAACCUGGAUUACCAUACCUGGAUAUUAUCCGACUUCUACGGGAUAAUUCAGCCCUGCCGAUUGCUGCAUACCAGGUUAGUUUGCAAGCUUUUUUACCUGCAACCACAUCUUCCAUAUUUCACGUGAAAGCAGAAACCAUUUUCUUAGCGUCAGGUACAAUGUUGUUGAUGAAGCCAUUUUCAGGGCCACAUGUACUGCAUAGUGCCACCUAGAUUCGUCUUGUUAUUUUCUCUUUACCCAGAAGGAGAUUUAGGUUCAUGUGUAACAAAAGGACUGGCGGCCAAAUGAUCUUUAGCAAUAAGCAAAGCAGACAUUUUCGAUAUCGUUUUCUCAGAAAUAGCUUCUGGCCUCCCCUUGAACCCUGUCCCUGUCUAUAACACCACCCUGAAACUGAUCUCCAAUAUGAAUGCUCCGGAGAAUCCCCUUGAAUCUGUUUUGCACGUCCUCCAAUGCGUAUCGCCUGCCUGACCCUACUACACGUGAUCAUUUGAGAUGCACUAGUAAUCUGUCAAACAGAUCAAUGCCACUUAUUUCGACGCAUUUGUUUGUAACCGCAUGAUGGUUGCUGUGUUCAGGUGUCGGGCGAGUACUCGAUGAUCAAGGCCGGCGGCGUGCUGAAGAUGGUGGACGAGGAGAAGGUGAUGAUGGAGUCGCUGCUGUGCCUGCGGCGCGCCGGCGCCGACAUCAUCCUCACCUACUUCGCCCGCCAGGCCGCCAACGUCCUCUGCGGCAGCAAGCGGCCGUAGCUCAUCACGGAAGUCGAUUUCUUGUAGUAGUAGCACCAUGGCCAUGGCGCUUCACUGCAUUGCAGAGUAUGUGGCGCGGCACGGCCAUGCUCUCCGGUAGAUAGAGGUUUGUCACCGGCUUCGGUUUGGUGUAAUUAACGAGGCUUUAUUUUUAACUGAUUUUAGGGGUGGUUUUUUAGAACUGAUGAGAGGUUUGCGAGAAGGAGACGCUCGUUCGUGAGCACUGACAGGUGGGCCCGCCAGGCCUGCCUGCGUGGGCCGGGCCGCCGGGCUGCAUGCACGGGUCAGCUUGACGUUCCGGUGACAUCACCGGCUUUUUUGAAUUGCACGCGACCUGGGGCACCGCCCCCCUGCUCUGCUCCCACUGUGUGCUCUGCUUCCGUAAAUUUCUCCGGGGCUCACACGCACGCAGAACACCUGCACACACAACAGCGCCAGCACAUUCAGGGCCGGACGGCGUCUGCACACUCCUGCGCCACCACCACCACUGCUCCUCCUCUAUUAUUUGCAUCAUGACAUUUCACACCGUCUCUUUUCUAGUAUAACCGCGAACGCUUCGCACCGUCUCUCUUUUAGAACCAUUUCACACUGCCUGUUAACAGGAGUACUACUGUCUACUGUACUUACUAUAUAUUUCCCUCGCAGAAAAGAAAAGACAAUGGAAAUCUCAGGUCCCCUCCUCGCUUCUUGUUUGACUAUUUUCCUACCACGUGUUUGGUUUACCGAACACACAUGCCGAUGCCGCACGCUCGUUUUCUUUCCACCAUUUUUUUUGCUUCAAAGGAUCAGUGUGCGGGUGCCCGCUACACUUGUUCGGAAACUUCAUAUGGUCGUCGCUAUGGGCCGGGAUCACCAGAUCAGAUCAUGAGAGUAGUGGAAGGUCAACGGUGGGUGCUGAGGCAGACCCAGUUGACCCAAGGCCCCAAACCAAUACUGGCUCACUGGUCGCUGCCUGCUUUCUUCUUCCUUACUACGAGUAGCAUUUGGCAAAUGGGACGUACAUGAGCAAACGUGUACUUUGCUCCGGUGGACGUACAUGAGCAAACAUCUAACUACACAUUUUCUUUCGGAAUCUCAUCUGAGAACACUUGAUUACUGCCUGUUUACAAGAGGUCCGUACUGCUACAACUUAGGACAGUGUUAUUUUAUCUUGGAUCCGCCGCCGCCCCACGAUGAAAUGAUGCCCAGCAGCAGGCCAGCACCCACCAGCCACUUCCUCGCCAUUCACAGCGAGCGCUCGCUCGCUCGCUCGCUCAGUCCCCCUUGUCUGUCUCCAUGGAUGGAUCGAUGGGCACCGACAGCGACACCACUUGCCCCUACCCCGCCUGCUUUGCCCUUGGCGCCUUGCCAAUGGCCAAUGCCGUCUACCCAUGCGUGACGGCCGGACCGGCCCAGUGCCGGGCCCUCCAUGAUAGAAAUGCCCAUGCAUGCAUGUACGUACGUCGUCCUCUUCCCCCUCCCCCCACCCCCACGACAAGUACAACAGCAAGGUGGCGGAUGCGCUGGCGAGCGGGCGCACGGAAUGGAUGUCUGAUUUGUUGCAGCAUCGCGCGGCUGGCGUGAGCCGGGAAAAUGCCAUGGCCUUUUCAUGUGCAGUUCUGAGUUCUGGGGGAGGGACCAACCCGUGUGCGCCCCGCACCUGCGCCUGCUCCCUCGAAACGCCGCAUUUUCAUCUUGAUCCGAUUCCUCUUUUGCGCGGGGAGAAUUUCGAUCUGAAAUUACGAGAAGGAAGAGCGAAUUGAUGCCCAACAUUCUCCCUCUCGGUUUCAUUGCUGCUCUUUUUGGCCGCUGCGCUUCUGCGUCUCCUCUACGAGUAAUCAACCCGUGUUCAGAGUUAGGAGGAGUACACUUUUGAUCAUCAUGUAUCAGAUCGAGAUGUUUUACUGCAGUAGAUGAAGGUGCCACUCAUUCUGUUAUUGCAGGCUCGAAGAUUACACAUCCAAAUUAAUUUAAUAAAUCCGGGCAGAAAGAAUACAUAGGAGGGCCUCUUUUAACUCCAUCCAAUCUCUCUCUCUGUAGAUCGUGGAUCGAAUACUCGCAACAAAUUCAGAAGAAGGAAGAAGAAGAGAUGAAAAAGAAAUCCAAGGUGGAAAAAAAAUACUACGGGUGACGGCGGAGCGAGCGCGAGGUGAGGUAUUAUACUGGCGGCGAUCGGCUGUUGGCGGCGGCUCCGGCGGUGGAUCGGGAGGAAUUAGUUGUACGGCUUCAUUGGCGGCGGCGGCGACCCGUAUGCCACGCCGUACACCGGCGGGAACGGCAGGUUCGCGCCGGCCGGCGUCGGGUGCCCGGUGCUGCCGCCCUGGGACGGCGGCGCGCAGUGCUCGGGCGUGGACGGCGUUGUUGCUCCCGACGACGGCGAGGACGGGGUGCCUGGGUGCGUCUCUGAUGGAGGCGUGGUGGUGGCUGGUGUCCCCGGCGAGUGGGGAGGCAGCGCGUAGCCGGGGUACUCCGUGGGCGGCGACGGCGUCUGGUGGCUGCCGGAGGGCGUCGUGGGGCCGUACGAGCCCGGAGGCGGCGCGUACCGCCCGUCUGGCUUGUCGGCCGAGGUUGGGGGAGGCGGCGCGUGGCCUCCUACUGGCAUCGGGGUGCCUGACGAAGGAGACGGGUACGACGGGGUCCCCGGCGUGCUCUGCGGCGGCGAGUGGGAUGACGGGGUGCUGGAGCUGGACGGCGGCGUCNNNNNNNNNNNNNNNNNNNNNNNNNNNNNNNNNNNNNNNNNNNNNNNNNNNNNNNNNNNNNNNNNNNNNNNNNNNNNNNNNNNNNNNNNNNNNNNNNNNNNNNNNNNNNNNNNNNNNNNNNNNNNNNNNNNNNNNNNNNNNNNNNNNNNNNNNNNNNNNNNNNNNNNNNNNNNNNNNNNNNNNNNNNNNNNNNNNNNNNNNNNNNNNNNNNNNNNNNNNNNNNNNNNNNNNNNNNNNNNNNNGUACGACGGGGUGCUGGAGCUCGACGGAGGCGUCGGGUACGACGGCGUGGUCGAGCCGGGUGGCGAUGGCGUGGUGGAUCCCUGGGGCGGCGAGUGGUACGACGGGGUGCUGGAGCUGGACGGCGGCGUCGGGUACGACGGCGUGGUCGAGCCUGGUGGCGAUGGCGUGGUGGAUCCCUGGGGUGGCGAGUGGUAUGACGGGGUGCUGGAGCUCGACGGUGGCGACGGGUAGGACGGGGUGGUGGAUCCCUGAUGCGGCGAGGGGUAUGCCGGCGUGCCGGAGCCCUUGGGAGGCGAGUGGGACGACGGAGUGGUCGUGCUUGACGGCGGCGACGGGUAGGACGGGCUGGAAGGCUUGCCACCACCGGGCGUGGUGGGAGUGGCAGGAGUGUACGCCGGGAACUGGCAUUGCGCCUUGCUGCAGUCGAACGGGUGGGAGGCCGCGGCGGCGCACUGCGCCGCCGGCCGCUGCGCGGGCGCGCCGGGGAUGCAGUUCCACGCGCCGUCGGCGGUGGCCUGCGCGCAGCCGGGGCGCGAGGUGAUGAAGUUGUCGGUGUAGGUGAAGUUCUUGAGCCCGGCGAGGCCGCAGACGGCGGCCGGCACGGCGCCCUCGAAGAGGUUCCCGGCGACGUCGAGCUCCUCGACGGCCGCCAUCCCGCCGACGGCCGCGGGGAGGGCCCCCUGGAGCCGGUUGCCGCUGACAUCAAACACCGUCACCUUCUUCAGCAGCCCCACCUGCGGCGGGACGCAGCCGGUGAGCAUGUCGUCGAUGAGCACGAUCUCGUUGAGCGUGUCCGCCAUCCUGCCGAUGGAGGGCGGGAUGCACCCGCCGAGCCGAUUGUGCGCGAGCACGACGACGGAGGCCGGCGAGUUGCCGAGGUUGGCGGGGAUGGGGUUGCGCAGGCGGUUGGAGUUGAGGAAGAUGGCGUCGAGCGGGCGGUCGAAGAGCGCCGGCGGGAUGGAGCCCUCGAAGUCAUUGAAGCGGAGGUCGAGGUACCUGAGGGACGGCAGCGCGAGCACCACCUCCGGGAAGGCGCCGACGAAGCGGUUGUUGCUGAGGUCGAGCUCGUGGAGCAGGCGCAAGCGGCGGAAGGUGUCGGGCACGACGCCGCAGAAGCGGUUGGAGUUGAGGUGCAGCAGCGCCAGGUCCGGGAGCCCCAGCGGGAGGGAGGCGGGGAUGUAGCCGGCGAUGUCGGCGUGGUUG
This 9413-nucleotide long non-coding RNA is filed under the name Triticum aestivum (bread wheat). RNAcentral's name for it is "long non-coding RNA (TAES_LNC009931)". The record is from RNAcentral. Lineage: Eukaryota; Viridiplantae; Streptophyta; Magnoliopsida; Poales; Poaceae.